AUUGAACGCUGGCGGCAGGCUUAACACAUGCAAGUCGAGCGGAGAUGAGGUGCUUGCACCUUAUCUUAGCGGCGGACGGGUGAGUAAUGCUUAGGAAUCUGCCUAUUAGUGGGGGACAACAUUCCGAAAGGAAUGCUAAUACCGCAUACGUCCUACGGGAGAAAGCAGGGGAUCUUCGGACCUUGCGCUAAUAGAUGAGCCUAAGUCGGAUUAGCUAGUUGGUGGGGUAAAGGCCUACCAAGGCGACGAUCUGUAGCGGGUCUGAGAGGAUGAUCCGCCACACUGGGACUGAGACACGGCCCAGACUCCUACGGGAGGCAGCAGUGGGGAAUAUUGGACAAUGGGGGGAACCCUGAUCCAGCCAUGCCGCGUGUGUGAAGAAGGCCUUAUGGUUGUAAAGCACUUUAAGCGAGGAGGAGGCUGCUGAGACUAAUACUCUUGGAUAGUGGACGUUACUCGCAGAAUAAGCACUGGCUAACUCUGUGCCAGCCGCCGCGGUAA
RNAcentral lists this ribosomal RNA (501 nucleotides) under uncultured bacterium. Its description in RNAcentral is "partial 16S ribosomal RNA". It matches the Rfam family "Bacterial small subunit ribosomal RNA", at positions 30 to 523 of the family's 1533-position model. The record is from RNAcentral.